Delphinapterus leucas (beluga whale) is the source of this 110-nucleotide small nuclear RNA. The record is from Ensembl. Lineage: Eukaryota; Metazoa; Chordata; Mammalia; Artiodactyla; Monodontidae.
UACUUUAAGAUAUUAGUACUUGCUUCAAAUUGGAAUGAUUUAAAGAAGGUUAGCAUGGCCCCAACACAAGAAUGACACAACAGGCUCAUGUUACCACUAUAUAUAUUUUU